Molecule: non-coding RNA, 2476 nt
Organism: Oryctolagus cuniculus (rabbit)
Lineage: Eukaryota; Metazoa; Chordata; Mammalia; Lagomorpha; Leporidae
Source: RefSeq, a predicted model, not a curated record
ACUCUUCUAAAGAUGUUCCUUGGCUAGGUAGUCUAAAGGUCUAAAACUCUUAAACUGAAUCAUAACUUACAUUAUUUAGGAGAAAAUUAUUUUUAAAGGUCACUGGUCUUGGCCAGAGCCGUGGCUCAAUAGGCUAAUCCUCCACCUUGUGGCGCCAGCACACCGGGUUCUAGUCCCGGUCAGGGUGCCAGAUUCUGUCCCGGUUGCCCCUCUGCCAGGCCAGCUCUCUGCUAUGGCCCUGGAGUGCAGUGGAGGAUGGCCCAAGUCCUUGGGCCCUGCACCCCAUGGGAGACCAGGAUAAGCACCUGGCUCCUGCCUUUGGAUCAGCGCAGUGCGCCAGCCACAGUGCGCCAGCCACAGUGGCCAUUAGAGGGUGAACCAAUGGCAAAGGAAGAUCUUUCUCUCUGUCUCUCUCUCUCACUGUCCACUCUGCCUGUCCAAAAACAAAAAAAGUCACUUGUCUUAAAGCUGUCAAUGUCAGAGUCCAUGUUGGACUGAAUGAAGGGCAUCUCUCACUGGUGCUCUUAAUAAGGCAUAGUUGGUGACACCAGUUUGUUUUUAGCUCCCAUCAUGGCAGUUUAUUAACAGAAAGCCAUCUGGUGAGUCAGCAACCACAACUGUCACCUUUCCUGUGGGUGCUGUGUGAGCAUCUGGGUGACAUCCUCAAUCAUACCCAAGUGGGCUGACUGGGCCCUAGGUCCAGGGGUCUUGGUUCUGUUCCUCUGUAGCCCAGAGUUUGAUGUGUAGGGUAGUGAUACCUGACUGGUUGCACCUCUGGGCCACGUUUGGCCAGCCAACAUGGAAGUAUAUGGUGAGGAUUUGUCUAGGUCAGCCUUCACCUUUGUCCCACCUGUCACUGGGCAGAUGGUUUCCUUGACAAACAGUGACAUGGACAAAGGUGUCAUUGAAGGAUGUGAAGAAGUGACAGAUACCAAAGAUACUCUCUCUUUCAGAAACCUGGUAUCCAGGCUAAUGACCUGUUCUUUUCCUUCUCUUUGUGAGGUGUUACUUCUGUGUGUCUUCUUCAGACUCUACCACUGAAAUGAGAGGACAAGGCCAAGGCCAAGACACCAGUUUUUACAAAGAGGAGUUCACUUGGGUGGCCAACAUAGGAGUGUUUUCCUUGUUCCAGAAUCUUUUGAGGCUUGUCCAACUGAACCAGAGAGAGACAUUCUCUCUCCAACCUGUGAGAGGCCUUUAUAUAAACAGGUAAAUAAAGAGGAAAAUAUUCCUGGCAAUAAGCACUGCGGGUUCUUGAAUAAGGGUAAAGGGACAAGUAGCACUGGCUAAAGACAUGCCUUUAAGCAGCCACUUCUGCAAAUUUAACUGACAUGUUGCCAUUUAUGUAGAUUGGGAGAAGAGUAAGCCAGGAAGAACUUUUUUUUUUUUUUUAGAUUUACUUAUUUUGAAAGAAUUCAAGGAUCCUAGAGGGUGUUGGGGCAGAGGUUUCUAAAAGGCUGAUUGUUAGGUAAGGAGUCUUGAAGGUGGGCUGAUGCUGUCAUGGAGCUGAUUUCUCUUUUCUAGAAGUUCUCAUGGAAGAUUGUGGCCAUAGCUUUUUCUCUUUACAGUACCAAGGUGGAUCUUGUCGCUCCCUCAUUCGUGGAGGAACGACGCCAUCCCGGGUUAGCUGCCGGCCCCUCCACCUCCGUGGAGGGGCGGCACCCCCUGCCGCUUUCCCCGCUUCUGCGGAGGAGCGGCACACCACUGGCCGGCUCUCUCGGGGGCUGCUCAGAUGUUGCUCAGAUGUUCCUCAGGUGUUCCUUCAGAUGUUCCUUCAGAUGUUCCUGGUGCAUGUUGUCUCUCUCCUCCUUUAUAGUCCUCUUCCACCAAUCCCAACUCUGCUACCCACAUGCUGAGCAUGCUGCUCUCCUCCAAUCAGGAGCAGGAUCAGCUCCUGCAGUUUAUUGGUCAAACUGGAGGCAGCUGCGCAGAAGCUGUUUACUCCUCUCCCAGCACCAUAUUGUGGGAGAGCAGAUGCAUAGAAUAAGUCUUAAUUCCAGUAACUUAGUCUAGUCUCAGUUGCUCCCCACAGAUCUCAGUCAUCUAUUUUUGUUUGUUUUAGUUGAUGGGCUUUUCUGUUUUGAUCUUUGUGAUACAUAUGGAUCUUUGUAUAACCUUUUUUGUCUGAAGAGAUGUUCCUCAGGAUUUAACUUAAUUAGCAGUUUUGUGACAUCUGUUGAUCCUUGGGAAAUGUCAGAUGUACAGAUGUUUCCCAAAAUUAACCCUACAUAGGUAACUUUGAGUAACUUAUCCUAUGUGAAGCAAGUAGAAAAAUAAGUUGUUUUUACCUUUUGAAGCUCUCAAAAUUUUCCUCUCUCUGCUUCCCUAAUUAAGCUGCAGCUGUCUCCUGCCUCAACCUGAUGCCCUGAUCCUGUCUCAUGCAGUUUUGUUCCUGUACUUUCAUUGGUAUAGUAUUAGAGUCACAAAUGCAAAUAAUGAAAUAAAGCCUUCAGAUAACCAGAAUGACCAAGGAAAA